This is a long non-coding RNA of Nycticebus coucang (slow loris), 275 nucleotides long. RefSeq lists it as uncharacterized. The record is from RefSeq and is a predicted model, not a curated record. The transcript has 3 exons. Lineage: Eukaryota; Metazoa; Chordata; Mammalia; Primates; Lorisidae.
GACCCAAGAGGCCACCAUGGUUCACACAGACAUCUACUUGGGAGCCUGUUGCCCAGGUGUCCAGCCCCCAAUACCUGACCAGAGGACACCCCUUGGCCUUGCUUCUCCUGAGAUUUUGCCCUGCGCAGAAGGCCUGAACUCAGCAUAAGUGCAGCCAGUCGCCUCCUAAUCAAAGAGGCAGACCCCACCUCACGGGGGACAGACAUUCAAGUGGACACUCAGGAUGAGAGCAGGAAGGGGAAGGAAGUUUGGGCAGUUCCAUCCCCUUGUGCUGG